This 1309-nucleotide long non-coding RNA is filed under the name Panax ginseng (ginseng). Its description in RNAcentral is "long non-coding RNA (PGIN_LNC005320)". The record is from RNAcentral. Lineage: Eukaryota; Viridiplantae; Streptophyta; Magnoliopsida; Apiales; Araliaceae.
GCCAACACAUAUUGUCGUAGAUAAGAGUAUUGGUAGCUAGGUGCCUUAGAAACUUGAUGAAGAACUUGAGAAGCAUCAGCAGUAACCGCCGAGUUAACAAGCUGUCCAAACAAGAGAGGCAUGGACACCCCACUUCCCACAGCACAAACUGUACCCACACUCAUCGCCUGUUUGGGAAAAACUUAUUUUAAAUGACUUAUAAGUUAAAAUAUAAGAUGACUUAUAAGUUGUUUUAAGUUCUGACUUAUAAGUAAAAGCGUUCGGCAUCAAUUUGACUUAUAAGUCAAAAAUUAAGUUAAAACAAGUUAUGAAAGUAUUUGGCUCAUAAUGAUUUAUAAGUUAAAAUAAAUGUAAAGAUUACUAAAAAGGACAUUAAUAAAAAGAGGGGCCAAAAUAGACAUUAUAUUUGGUCAAACUAACUUAUUUUUGUUGAGUUCAAACUCAACUUAUAAGUAGAAAAAUAAGUCAUUUCGGAACAGGAGUGUUAAUUAGGAAUAUGAAUUCACGGGAAAGAAAAUUAAUUGGUAUUUAGUUUGUGUGUGUGUGUUUAAAGGUAAAGGUUAAUUCUUGAUCAAAAGUAUCAUGAUCUAUAGUUUGGCUAGGUAACUGAAUUUAGUUAAAAGUCAGUGUUAUAACAUAGCAACGUUUUUAGAUGUUUUUGAAUCUCAUAUAGAAUCAAUCCCAUCUAUCAUACAACAUGUUGCCCUAUAGUUUGCACAUCAAAUCCCCUUUCACAUUGAUCCUUACCACCACUUUUUUACUUUCUGUAGCUAUAACUCAUUCGGCAUAAAAUAUUUUCAACCCACAAAAAUAAAUUCCUUAUCAUCUGUUUGUUUUUGGAUUAGGUUCAAAACAUUUUCUGGGAAAAAUAAUCACAGUAAUAAGAGAUACCCAGUUAUGCUAACUGGCUAUUUGCAUUUUCCUUUUGAUAAUUUGAUUUCACAUGCUUUAUAAUUCCCACAAAACAAUCAAAAAACCGAAAUGAAGAAACUUUAAGCUUAACCUGUCAAACCCAAGUGCCAAAAAGGGUUGGUUGUAUCGGUUCUCGCAUUUUAUCAAACACCUGCAGAACAAAAAUUUGUGUAGAGGGUUGUUAGUAUAUGUAUUCAAGUCAUCAUUGAAAUGAAAUGUAAAACCACCAAACCAAGAAGCCACCAUCUUUAAGUGACUUACUUUGUAAAGAAAAAUUCAAGUUGCCGAAUAUAAAAAGAGUCCGCUUUCUUCUUCAUUUCUCCCUGCUCUUGUCUGGCCAGAACUUCUUCCUUUGAUCACUCUCUUUCUCUCCUUUUGUUUCAGCUGAUCCAACUAC